RNAcentral lists this ribosomal RNA (435 nucleotides) under Enterococcus faecium. Its description in RNAcentral is "bacterial SSU rRNA". It matches the Rfam family "Bacterial small subunit ribosomal RNA", at positions 353 to 780 of the family's 1533-position model. Lineage: Bacteria; Bacillati; Bacillota; Bacilli; Lactobacillales; Enterococcaceae. The record is from RNAcentral.
AGUGGGGAAUUUUGGGCAAUGGGCGAAAGCCUGACGGAGCGACGCCGCGUGGGUGAAGAAUGCCGAGAGGUUGUAAAGCCCUUUUCUGCAUGAGGAAUAAGGCGAGGAGGUAAUGCCUCGCUGAUGACGGUAGUGCAGGAAUAAGCCCCGGCCAAUUACGUGCCAGCAGCCGCGGUAACACGUAUGGGGCGAGCGUUGUUCGGAAUCAUUGGGCGUACAGGGUUCGUAGGCGGUCAGAAUAGUCAGUGGUGAAAUCUAACGGCUUAACCGUUAAAUUGCCUUUGAAACUGUCUGACUUGAGUACGUGAGAGGAAAGCGGAAUUCUUGGUGUAGCGGUGAAAUGCGUGGAUAUCAAGAGGAACACCCGUGGCGAAAGCGGCUUUCUGGCACGAUACUGACGCUGAGGAACGAAAGCUAGGGUAGCAAACGGGAUUA